GAAUGACGAAAUCACCCAAAAUAGCUAUAAUGAUCGACAGAUUGUAUAGUGGCAAACCUACAGUCUUCCAAAA
RNAcentral lists this small nucleolar RNA (73 nucleotides) under Carlito syrichta (Philippine tarsier). Lineage: Eukaryota; Metazoa; Chordata; Mammalia; Primates; Tarsiidae. The record is from RNAcentral.